GAGAGCAGGGCACAGGUGACGACAAGGAUGAAGAUCCUCUAGCGAUAGACCCGCGACUACAGAAAACGAUUAUGUUCUGCUGACGUCACGAGUCCGAACGUCUGCAGAGGACGCGCUCACGUAAACAAACUGACCCGGAGACUGCUUGAAGAUUCGUUUCGGGACCCGUACACACCGGCCAGAAUCAGCACCCUGAUGUUACCAGAUGAGGACGGGUUCCCUUCUGAGUCCGGUUCCUCUCAAGGUUUCUUCCUCAUAUCAUCUCAGGGAGUUUUUCCCUCACCACCGGCUCGCUCAAUAGGGAUAAACUCACACGCUUAAAAUCUCCGUCCUGUGUUUAUAUGUUUCUGUAAAGCUGCUUUGAGACACUGUCCGUUGUUAAACGCGCUACACAAAUAAAACUGAACUGAAUUGUACGCCUGGAUGUCAGUGGAAUUGACAUCAAUCCAAUCUGUCACAGAACGCCUCCGCUGUAAAUGGGUAUUGUCCAGAAGAAGCUGAAGGAUGUCUUCGGUGAUGAGAUGUGGUCAGUGGUGUAGCGUGUGGGACCCGGGGUCAUACGCUUGGCAGGAUAGCAGUGCAGCGUCUCAGUGUGAGCGGAAGACCGGAGAAUCUGCCCAUAUUUUAAAUUCCAUUGAAGAUCUGCUGUCUGCUGUGUGUCGUCAGUCUCAGUGCUAUCAGAGGGGUCAGACUCCAGCACAAACUCGACUUCAUCCUCGGAACGCAGCUCUUCAGAUGCACCAGAGUGUGCGCUGUCAGUGAGCACAACUGUCUCCAGAGCUUCCUCCGCCGUGAAACGUCUCUUCAUCUUACAAGCUAUGAAAUGACCAGGUCCUCAAGCAUCACAUAUGUAUAGGUUUGGCUGCGAGAGCACGUGCGUCAACUGAACAAUCAGCAUUUUCUUCUGGUGAAAACAUAAACAAGGUGUUGAGGUUCUUCUGAACUUCUACAUCAAAAUCAAGCUCACCUUCUAUCUAUCUCUGUGCAGGAACAAUAACAAAUGAAAAAGUGCAAACAAGGGAUAAGAAACGUGUUCGAAUGCAAACAUCUUCAGAGCUCAGGAACCUUCUUUCACUCGUUUACAUGGGGUGGAAUUCGUGAUUUCCAGGACAAUAAAAAAUAUGAAAAAGACAAAAACAUCCAUAAGGACACACAAAGGUUAAUAUUUACAAAACUCAGAAUAUGAAAAAGUCGGGUACAAAAAUAUACUUUAGUGUUGAAUUAACUACUACGAAUGACCAUACAGUGUUAAAGUGCAAUAUACUGUGUAUAAAUAAUAUACCGACAUAUCGUCACAGUCUAUUCAUAAAUUAAAUAAAAUUGAAUAAUAAAGAGAUUUACUAAUGGCAUUAAUGACGUUUCAGUGUAUUCGGCUCUAAACAACCAUUUCA
Ictalurus punctatus (channel catfish) is the source of this 1391-nucleotide long non-coding RNA. Lineage: Eukaryota; Metazoa; Chordata; Actinopteri; Siluriformes; Ictaluridae. The record is from Ensembl.